This 499-nucleotide ribosomal RNA is filed under the name uncultured Glomeromycotina. RNAcentral's name for it is "partial small subunit ribosomal RNA". It matches the Rfam family "Eukaryotic small subunit ribosomal RNA", at positions 591 to 1092 of the family's 1831-position model. The record is from RNAcentral. Lineage: Eukaryota; Fungi; Glomeromycota.
CCAAUAGCGUAUAUUAAAGUUGCUGCAGUUAAAAAGCUCGUAGUUGAAUUUCGGGACCAAUAUGUCGGUCGUGCUUCGGUACGUACUGUCAUUAUUGGUUUCUCCCUUCUGAAGAACCUUGAUGUCAUUAAUUUGGUGUCUUGGGGAAUCAGGACUGUUACUUUGAAAAAAUUAGAGUGUUUAAAGCAGGCUCGCGCUUGAAUACAUUAGCAUGGAAUAAUGAAAUAGGACGUUUGAUUCUAUUUUGUUGGUUUCUAGGAUCGACGUAAUGAUUAAUAGGGAUAGUUGGGGGCAUUAGUAUUCAAUUGUCAGAGGUGAAAUUCUUGGAUUUAUUGAAGACUAACUACUGCGAAAGCAUUUGCCAAGGAUGUUUUCAUUAAUCAAGAACGAAAGUUAGGGGAUCGAAGACGAUCAGAUACCGUCGUAGUCUUAACCAUAAACUAUGCCGACUAGGGAUCGGAUGAUGUUAAUUUUUUAAUGACUCAUUCGGCGCCUUGCG